GAUGAACGCUGGCGGCGUGCCUAAUACAUGCAAGUCGAGCGAACGGACGAUAAGCUUGCUUCUCUGAUGUUAGCGGCGGACGGGUGAGUAACACGUGGAUAACCUACCUAUAAGGCUGGGAUAACUUCGGGAAACCGGAGCUAAUACCGGAUAAUAUUUUGAACCGCAUGGUUCAAAAGUGAAAGACGGUCUUGCUGUCACUUAUAGAUGUAUCCGCGCUGCAUUAGCUAGUUGGUAAGGUAACGGCUUACCAAGGCAACGAUGCAUAGCCGACCUGAGAGGGUGAUCGGCCACACUGGAACUGAGACACGGUCCAGAGUCCUACGGGAGGCAGCAGUAGGGAAUCUUCCGCAAUGGGCGAAAGCAUGACGGAGCAACGCCGCGUGAGUGAUGAAGGUCUUCGGAUCGUAAAACUCUGUUAUUAGGGAAGAACAUAUGUGUAAGUAACUGUGCACAUCUUGACGGUAACUAAUCAGAAAGCCACGGCUAACUACGUG
This 497-nucleotide ribosomal RNA is filed under the name uncultured bacterium. RNAcentral describes it as "partial 16S ribosomal RNA". It matches the Rfam family "Bacterial small subunit ribosomal RNA", at positions 28 to 507 of the family's 1533-position model. The record is from RNAcentral.